RNAcentral lists this ribosomal RNA (254 nucleotides) under uncultured beta proteobacterium. RNAcentral describes it as "partial 16S ribosomal RNA". It matches the Rfam family "Bacterial small subunit ribosomal RNA", at positions 524 to 776 of the family's 1533-position model. Lineage: Bacteria; Pseudomonadati; Pseudomonadota; Betaproteobacteria. The record is from RNAcentral.
UACGGAGGGUGCAAGCGUUAUCCGGAUUCACUGGGUUUAAAGGGUGCGUAGGCGGGCUAUUAAGUCAGUGGUGAAAUCCCGGGGCUCAACCUCGGAACUGCCAUUGUGACUGCAAGGCUAGAGUACGGCAGAGGGGGGGUGGAAUUCCGCGUGUAGCAGUGAAAUGCGUAGAUAUGCGGAGGAACACCGAUGGCGAAGGCAACCCCCUGGGCCUGUACUGACGCUCAUGCACGAAAGCGUGGGGAGCAAACAGG